GUGGGGAAUCUUGCGCAAUGGGCGAAAGCCUGACGCAGCCAUGCCGCGUGAAUGAUGAAGGUCUUAGGAUUGUAAAAUUCUUUCACCGGGGACGAUAAUGACGGUACCCGGAGAAGAAGCCCCGGCUAACUUCGUGCCAGCAGCCGCGGUAAUACGAAGGGGGCUAGCGUUGCUCGGAAUUACUGGGCGUAAAGGGCGCGUAGGCGGACAGUUUAGUCAGAGGUGAAAGCCCAGGGCUCAACCUUGGAAUGGCCUUUGAUACUGGCUGUCUUGAGUACGGGAGAGGUGAGUGGAACUCCGAGUGUAGAGGUGAAAUUCGUAGAUAUUCGGAAGAACACCAGUGGCGAAGGCGACUCACUGGCCCGUUACUGACGCUGAGGCGCGAAAGCGUGGGGAGCAAACAGGAUUAGAUACCCGAGUAGUCC
RNAcentral lists this ribosomal RNA (425 nucleotides) under uncultured bacterium. RNAcentral describes it as "partial 16S ribosomal RNA". It matches the Rfam family "Bacterial small subunit ribosomal RNA", at positions 354 to 796 of the family's 1533-position model. The record is from RNAcentral.